UUACGAUACAAACAUGAAGUUUACAUAACAGAUUUAGGUAUCAAAAUACAUGUAGGACAAGAGCAUACAAGAAUUCAAAGCAGUAAUAUAGAGCUCAAUUGAAAAAGAAAGCUAAAGGAUAUCAAUUUCCAAAGGAAUGAAACCAGAAUAUACGAAAUCGACCAAAGCUCGAUUUCUGGCAGAAUUCAAGAGGCACAUUGAACAAAUGAUUCAAACUAUCAAUCGUGCUCCAAUAUACUCAAGAAAGCUAUCAAAAGAAAUGUUUAUGAGUCUAUAUUCUGAUCAAAUAAUUUUUGUCUAAAUCAGAGGUCAACACAUGAAGUUAUAAUCAUAACAAGGUAGAAAGGUCAGAAUCUCAAAAGUUGCACAGAUUCGGAUCGAUAUGUCUAAACAAGAGAUAUAUCAAAUGCAAGGCUAGAACAAUUCAAAGUUCCUCAUAUUCAAAGCAAAUGUAGAG
This 457-nucleotide long non-coding RNA is filed under the name Musa acuminata (dwarf banana). RNAcentral's name for it is "long non-coding RNA (MACU_LNC010518)". Lineage: Eukaryota; Viridiplantae; Streptophyta; Magnoliopsida; Zingiberales; Musaceae. The record is from RNAcentral.